GGGGGUGGGAUUCGUACUGGCU
RNAcentral lists this unclassified non-coding RNA (22 nucleotides) under Dictyostelium discoideum. Lineage: Eukaryota; Evosea; Eumycetozoa; Dictyosteliales; Dictyosteliaceae. The record is from RNAcentral.